Molecule: ribosomal RNA, 253 nt
Filed under: uncultured bacterium
Lineage: Bacteria
Description: partial 16S ribosomal RNA
Rfam family: Bacterial small subunit ribosomal RNA
Source: RNAcentral
GACAGAGGGUGCAAACGUUGCUCGGAUUUACUGGGCGUAAAGCGCACGUAGGCGGAUUUGUAAGUCAGGGGUGAAAUCCCGAGGCUCAACCUCGGAACUGCCUUUGAUACUGGGGAUCUCGAGUCCGGGAGAGGUGAGUGGAACUGCGAGUGUAGAGGUGAAAUUCGUAGAUAUUCGCAAGAACACCAGUGGCGAAGGCGGCUCACUGGCCCGGAACUGACGCUGAGGUGCGAAAGCGUGGGGAGCAAACAGG